CCCAUUGAUAACAAAAAACAUGGCGGCUAUUUGUUAGUAGGUCCCGCUUCAAGAUUUCAAAAUCAUCAAACGUUCCAGAAAUGCAACAAUUGUAAAAACUUUCAACGCUGUUUUGUUCAUAUGGAUGGGAACAAACACAUGUGUAUGCAUUUUUGAAUAUAAAAGUUUUGUGGCGGUACUUGGCAAGCAAUUUUCUCACACUUGACUAUGGCUAUAGGUGAUGAUCUUGAGCUAAACUAAAGGUAAAUGGAACAGCAUGGAUGUGGAUUUUUAGACACAAGGAAGCUGAAUUUAACUUUUAAUGAAGAAUUUAAAUGAUGAUUGUCCAUGAAAAGAAAUAUUAAUCAUAUACAUUGUAAUGCUGUAUUGAUGCAUCUUCUGUUUUAAGUAAUUAAAAAACCAUCCAUUUAUGAAAUUAUUUUCAUUUUUUUUUUUCAAUUUUAAAACUGUAGUUCUGUUUUGUUAUUUGAAAACAAUGAUGAAAGUAUACUGAACUGCCAUUGAGAUAUUAAUAUAAAUGCUAUUGUUUAUAGUUUAAUUCUUUCAGAAGCAACUAUAUUGACAUCAAAACUGAAUCUUUAUUGUACACUAAGUAUAAAAGCUUA
Long non-coding RNA from Physella acuta, 605 nucleotides. RefSeq lists it as uncharacterized. NCBI's taxonomy places the organism in Eukaryota, Metazoa, Mollusca, Gastropoda, Physidae. The record is from RefSeq and is a predicted model, not a curated record.